GCGGGAGUGGCGAAACUGGUAUACGCAGCAGACUUGGACUCUGCUGGCGGAAACGCCGUGGGGGUUCAAAUCCCCUCUCCCGCA
Molecule: transfer RNA, 84 nt
Filed under: Terriglobia bacterium
Lineage: Bacteria; Pseudomonadati; Acidobacteriota; Terriglobia
Description: tRNA-Pro
Rfam family: tRNA
About the family: Transfer RNA (tRNA) molecules are approximately 80 nucleotides in length.
Source: RNAcentral